UGCUGACGAGCGGCGGACGGGUGAGUAACGCGUAGGAAUUUGCCUGAUAGAGGGGGAUAGCCCGGGGAAACUCGGAUUAAUACCGCAUACGCUCUACGGAGGAAAGCAGGGGAUCUUCGGACCUUGCGCUAUCAGAUAAGCCUGCGUGGGAUUAGCUAGUUGGUGAGGUAACGGCUCACCAAGCCAUCGAUAGGUAGGGGGCGUGAGAGCGUGACCCCCCACACGGGUACUGAGACACGGACCCG
RNAcentral lists this ribosomal RNA (245 nucleotides) under uncultured bacterium. Its description in RNAcentral is "partial 16S ribosomal RNA". It matches the Rfam family "Bacterial small subunit ribosomal RNA", at positions 86 to 334 of the family's 1533-position model. The record is from RNAcentral.